RNAcentral lists this ribosomal RNA (777 nucleotides) under uncultured Neocallimastigales. RNAcentral's name for it is "partial large subunit ribosomal RNA". It matches the Rfam family "Eukaryotic large subunit ribosomal RNA", at positions 22 to 635 of the family's 3401-position model. Lineage: Eukaryota; Fungi; Neocallimastigomycota; Neocallimastigomycetes; Neocallimastigales. The record is from RNAcentral.
GUACACGCUGUGACUAGCAUAUCAAUAAGCGGAGGAAAAGAAACUAACAAGGAUUCCCCUAGUAACGGCGAGUGAAGCGGGAAGAGCUCAAAUUUGAAAUCUUAAAGGGUUUCCCUUUACGAAUUGUAGUUUAAAGAAGUGUUUUCUGUUGAGGUUUUUGGUAAAAGUUCUUUGGAAUAGGACAUCAUAGAGGGUGAGAAUCCCGUAUUUGACCUUUACUUUCAACUUUGUGAUACACUUUCAAAGAGUCGGAUUGUUUGGGAAUGCAGUCCAAAAUGGGUGGUAAAUUUCAUCUAAAGUUAAAUAUUGGCGAGAGACCGAUAGCGAACAAGUACCGUGAGGGAAAGAUGAAAAGAACUUUGAAAAGAGAGUUAAACAGUACGUGAAAUUGUCAAAAGGGAAGCGUUUGACACCAGUGUUGUUUUUCUGAAAAUCAAUUAAAGAACUGUUUAUGCUAAGCUGUUUAGACUUUAUCAGCUAAUCUGUUUAGUUUUGAGCUUUUCUUUAAUGCACUUUUCAGUUAACAAGUCAACAUCAAUUUCUUUUGCUGUAAAAAAGCUUGAGGAAGGUGGCUUGAGAUUCGUCUUAAGUGUUUAUAGCCUCUUGCCUAUGCAGUCGGAGAGAUUGAGGUCUGCAGCGUAGAUCCUUCGGGGCUAAAUGCAUUUGUGCUAAGUUAUAGCAUUUUAUAGACGGACUUGUUGACUAUGAUUUGUCUUGUAGCUUACUCGCUUAUGUUAUUUUACCUACGCUUAGGAUGUUGAAGAUGUAGCACAUCAU